AUUGAACGCUGGCGGCAGGCCUAACACAUGCAAGUCGAGCGGAUGAAGGGAGCUUGCUCCUGAUUCAGCGGCGGACGGGUGAGUAAUGCCUAGGAAUCUGCCUGGUAGUGGGGGAUAACGUCCGGAAACGGGCGCUAAUACCGCAUACGUCCUGAGGGAGAAAGUGGGGGAUCUUCGGACCUCACGCUAUCAGAUGAGCCUAGGUCGGAGUAGCUAGUUGGUGGGGUAAAGGCCUACCAAGGCGACGAUCCGUAACUGGUCUGAGAGGAUGAUCAGUCACACUGGAACUGAGACACGGUCCAGACUCCUACGGGAGGCAGCAGUGGGGAAUAUUGGACAAUGGGCGAAAGACUGAUCCAGCCAGGCCGCGUGUGAAGAAGGUCUUCGGAUUGUAAAGCACUUUAAGUUGGGAGGAAGGGCAGUAAGUUAAUACCUUGCUGUUUUGACGUUACCAACAGAAUAGGCACCGGCUAACUUCGUG
This 481-nucleotide ribosomal RNA is filed under the name uncultured bacterium. RNAcentral describes it as "partial 16S ribosomal RNA". It matches the Rfam family "Bacterial small subunit ribosomal RNA", at positions 30 to 507 of the family's 1533-position model. The record is from RNAcentral.